Molecule: ribosomal RNA, 497 nt
Filed under: uncultured bacterium
Lineage: Bacteria
Description: partial 16S ribosomal RNA
Rfam family: Bacterial small subunit ribosomal RNA
Source: RNAcentral
GAUGAACGCUGGCGGCGUGCCUAAUACAUGCAAGUCGAGCGAACGGACGAGAAGCUUGCUUCUCUGAUGUUAGCGGCGGACGGGUGAGUAACACGUGGAUAACCUACCUAUAAGACUGGGAUAACUUCGGGAAACCGGAGCUAAUACCGGAUGAUAUUUUGAACCGCAUGGUUCAAAAGUGAAAGACGGUCUUGCUGUCACUUAUAGAUGGAUCAGCGCUGCAUUAGCUAGUUGGUAAGGUAACGGCUUACCAAGGCAACGAUGCAUAGCCGACCUGAGAGGGUGAUCGGCCACACUGGAACUGAGACACGGUCCAGACUCCUACGGGAGGCAGCAGUAGGGAAUCUUCCGCAAUGGGCGAAAGUCUGACGGAGCAACGCCGCGUGAGUGAUGAAGGUCUUCGGAUCGUAAAACUCUGUUAUUAGGGAAGAACAUAUGUGUAAGUAACUGUGCACAUCUUGACGGUACCUAAUCAGAAAGCCACGGCUAACUACGUG